UGGCGAACGGGUGAGUAACGCGUGAGGAACCUGCCUCAAAGAGGGGGACAACAGUUGGAAACGACUGCUAAUACCGCAUAAGCCCACGACCCGGCAUCGGGAAGAGGGAAAAGGAGCAAUCCGCUUUGAGAUGGCCUCGCAUCCGAUUAGCUAGUUGGUGAGGUAACGGCCCACCAAGGCGACGAUCGGUAGCCGGACUGAGAGGUUGAACGGCCACAUUGGGACUGAGACACGGCCCAG
Molecule: ribosomal RNA, 240 nt
Filed under: uncultured bacterium
Lineage: Bacteria
Description: partial 16S ribosomal RNA
Rfam family: Bacterial small subunit ribosomal RNA
Source: RNAcentral